AACGCGAAGAACCUUACCUACCCUUGACAUCCUCGGAAUCUAGCAGAAACGUUGGAGUGCCUGAAAGGGAGCCGAGAGACAGGUGCUGCAUGGCUGUCGUCAGCUCGUGUCGUGAGAUGUUGGGUUAAGUCCCGUAACGAGCGCAACCCCUAUCUUUAGUUGCUAGCAGGUAAAGCUGAGAACUCUAGAGAGACUGCCGGUGAUAAGCCGGAGGAAGGUGGGGAUGACGUCAAGUCCUCAUGGCCCUUACGGGUAGGGCAACACACGUGCUACAAUGGGCGGUACAAAGGGAAGCGAAGCCGUGAGGUGAAGCGAAUCUCACUAAAGCCGCUCGUAGUCCGGAUUGGAGUCUGCAACUCGACUCCAUGAAGUUGGAAUCGCUAGUAAUCGCGGAUCAGAAUGUCGCGGUGAAUACGUUCCCGGGCCUUGUACACACCGCGUGUCU
This 445-nucleotide ribosomal RNA is filed under the name uncultured bacterium. Its description in RNAcentral is "bacterial SSU rRNA". It matches the Rfam family "Bacterial small subunit ribosomal RNA", at positions 958 to 1399 of the family's 1533-position model. The record is from RNAcentral.